ACCACUGCCAGGCGUGAGGUCGCUGUGAAAGCCUGCGCUGUGCUCUGCCAGCGCGCGGAGGUAAUGGGCCUUCCGAACCUCUCAGGGGCUGAGACACAGAAACCUCUGUCUGCAGAAACUUUGAAACCUAAUCUACUAAAGACAAGAUGUGACUUCCUGGAGGGAGGUGCACACGGGCGACUCUGGCCAAGGAAUUUUGUCAGGAAGUAGCGCAGCCCCACCGGAAGCCAACCCAGGAGGGCGUACUGAAUUAACGUGUGGGAAUUACCAAGACUAGCGACCCUCCCCAAGUGGACAGAGCCUGAUAGGAACGAAUAUCCAGGGAGAGCGGGAAUCGAACCAUCCCCCAUGAAGACGCACCGAGGGCAAGAGUUCUUCUGUUUCUUGUUAUUUGAGAGAUCUUGGCCAGAGAAUGGGACACUGGAAUGUGACACUAUGCAAGAAUUUCAGAUACAUUUCUUCCUAACUUUCAUGCCUGUCUUUAGUAUCCAAAAAGAUAACAUCAGUGUCAUCCAGACCAAGGUCUCUGAUUGCAUUCCAGAUGGCCACGAGGCAUGAUGGCACGAUGGCAGAGCUCUCCUAACUCGUGGAGAAAUGGAGGAAAAAGACAGCAUCAUUUAUAACCACAGAAUCGCACAAACCAAGCAACAGGCACCAUAGCUCAGAAGCCGGCACAGCUAGCAAGCCAAGCUGAGUUCCCUCCCGGCAUGCUGAUUCAGAAGCUGCUCUUGCUGGCUGUGUUUGAUUCUUCCCUCUCGGGGUGCAUUCCUUUAAAGAUGUUCCGAAUUUAUUCUUAUUGUGUGUGUGUGUGUGUGUGCGCGCGCGCGCGCGCGCGCACAGGCAUGAUGGGGAAGUCAGAGGACAACCUUCUGGGACUGUUUUCCCCCAUCCUCGCGGGUUCCAGGAAUUAAGCUCAGGACUCCAGGCUGCGCUGGAGCACCUUUACCUGCUGAACAACCUCACCAGAUUAUGUACUUUAGCAAUGCUGAUUCUACUGCAGAUGAAAGUAGGAAACUUAUAUGCAUAAAAGCAGGUUCUUUUCUUCAAAAUCAUGUCUUUCAUCACAGUGAAUGACAAGAUUCUAGGUUGGCUGACUGGAAACCAGUGAGAUGACCUUGUACAACCCAACUCACUUUAAUAAAAAAUAACCUACAUCACGUAAACCUUUUCAUUCACUUAACAAGUGUUAUAUAGUGCUUAAAAUACGCUGUAGGCUUUGCUGGUCCGUGACAUACAUAAAGAUAAGUAAAUCACAGCGUUUGGCCUAGAAGAGCUCGUAAGACAAAUCACUGCAGCUUCUUGCCUGUACCAGUGCUGUAACCCGGAGCCACUGUGUUUUCUGGGAGCCCAAAGGACAGUUCGUUGCCCUUGGGAAGGGGGAUGAGGGGCCAGCAGGCAGAAGGCCUUGAGGCCUGAACUGUAGCUCCCAGCAGGAAGCUGUGUUCUCAGUUUGGGAACAGGAGCAAAGCUGUGCUGUAGAGUGUUGGAAGUCCUGUCUGGGGAGAUGAGCCAGGAACAGCAGACAGACUUUAUGGCCUUCAUAAAGCAAUGAUGGAACCAAAUCAAUUUCUUAAAACCGGCUUCAAAGCUCUAGAGAGACCAAGUAGUAUCACAGCUACUUACUAUUUUUCUUUUAAGAAAUUGUGGAUUUUCAUGUACAUUCAUUUUGAGUGUUUAGAAGUGAUUUUCAAAUAUCAUCCAGAUCAACACUAAACAAAAACAGCAAUGAAGUCUCA
Molecule: long non-coding RNA, 1736 nt
Organism: Meriones unguiculatus (Mongolian gerbil)
Lineage: Eukaryota; Metazoa; Chordata; Mammalia; Rodentia; Muridae
Exons: 2
Source: RefSeq, a predicted model, not a curated record